This 468-nucleotide ribosomal RNA is filed under the name uncultured bacterium. RNAcentral's name for it is "partial 16S ribosomal RNA". It matches the Rfam family "Bacterial small subunit ribosomal RNA", at positions 28 to 507 of the family's 1533-position model. The record is from RNAcentral.
GACGAACGCUGGCGGCGUGCUUAACACAUGCAAGUCGAACGGAAAGGCCCUGCUUUUGUGGGGUGCUCGAGUGGCGAACGGGUGAGUAACACGCGAGUAACCUGCCCUUGACUUUGGGAUAACUUCAGGAAACUGGGGCUAAUACCGGAUAGGAGCUCCUGCUGCAUGGUGGGGGUUGGAAAGUUUCGGCGGUUGGGGAUGGGCUCGCGGCUUAUCAGCUUGUUGGUGGGGUAGUGGCUUACCAAGGCUUUGACGGGUAGCCGGCCUGAGAGGGUGACCGGCCACAUUGGGACUGAGAUACGGCCCAGACUCCUACGGGAGGCAGCAGUGGGGAAUAUUGCACAAUGGGCGGAAGCCUGAUGCAGCAACGCCGCGUGCGGGAUGACGGCCUUCGGGUUGUAAACCGCUUUCGCCUGUGACGAAGCGUGAGUGACGGUAAUGGGUAAAGAAGCACCGGCUAACUACGUG